UACGGAGGGUGCAAGCGUUAAUCGGAAUUACUGGGCGUAAAGCGUGCGCAGGCGGUGAUGUAAGUCAGGUGUGAAAUCCCCGGGCUUAACCUGGGAACUGCAUUUGUGACUGCAUCGCUGGAGUGCGGCAGAGGGGGAUGGAAUUCCGCGUGUAGCAGUGAAAUGCGUAGAUAUGCGGAGGAACACCGAUGGCGAAGGCAAUCCCCUGGGCCUGCACUGACGCUCAUGCACGAAAGCGUGGGGAGCAAACAGG
Molecule: ribosomal RNA, 253 nt
Filed under: uncultured bacterium
Lineage: Bacteria
Description: partial 16S ribosomal RNA
Rfam family: Bacterial small subunit ribosomal RNA
Source: RNAcentral